UACGGAGGGUGCAAGCGUUGUCCGGAUUUAUUGGGUUUAAAGGGUGCGUAGGCGGCGAAUUAAGUCAGCGGUGAAAUUCCACAGCUCAACUGUGGAACUGCCAUUGAUACUGGUUGGCUUGAGUACAGAUGAGGUAGGCGGAAUUGACAGUGUAGCGGUGAAAUGCUUAGAUAUUGUCAAGAACACCUAUUGCGAAGGCAGCUUACUAAGCUGUAACUGACGCUGAGGCACGAAAGCGUGGGGAGCAAACAGG
This 253-nucleotide ribosomal RNA is filed under the name uncultured bacterium. RNAcentral's name for it is "partial 16S ribosomal RNA". It matches the Rfam family "Bacterial small subunit ribosomal RNA", at positions 524 to 776 of the family's 1533-position model. The record is from RNAcentral.